RNAcentral lists this ribosomal RNA (254 nucleotides) under uncultured bacterium. RNAcentral's name for it is "partial 16S ribosomal RNA". It matches the Rfam family "Bacterial small subunit ribosomal RNA", at positions 524 to 776 of the family's 1533-position model. The record is from RNAcentral.
UACGGGGGGAGCAAGCGUUGUUCGGAUUUACUGGGCGUAAAGGGCGCGUAGGCGGUCAGCACAAGUCAGUUGUGAAAUCUCCGGGCUUAACUCGGAAAGGUCAACUGAUACUGUGCGACUAGAGUGCAGAAGGGGCAACUGGAAUUCUCGGUGUAGCGGUGAAAUGCGUAGAUAUCGAGAGGAACACCAAUGGCGAAGGCAGCUCGCUGGGACGUGACUGACGCUGAGACGCGAAAGCGUGGGGAGCAAACAGG